AUAUAUCAACCUUCUCUUGUUGAGUUGGUUUGGAUGUGGGGGUUUGCUGGCCUCUUAAGAGGUUUCAGCUCUCCUGAAAUGCAUUAGCAGAACAACCCUGUUCAUUGGUGUGAUAACUAUCUACGCUAUUGAAUGUGAAGGGCAGUUUGGCUUUCUAACAGUCCUUGGACAGCUCAUCAUUA
Molecule: unclassified non-coding RNA, 182 nt
Filed under: uncultured Cortinarius
Lineage: Eukaryota; Fungi; Basidiomycota; Agaricomycetes; Agaricales; Cortinariaceae
Description: sequence contains ITS2
Source: RNAcentral